GACGAACGCUGGCGGCGUGCUUAACACAUGCAAGUCGAACGGAAAGGCCCUGCUUUUGUGGGGUGCUCGAGUGGCGAACGGGUGAGUAACACGUGAGUAACCUGCCCUUGACUUUGGGAUAACUUCAGGAAACUGGGGCUAAUACCGGAUAGGAGCUCCUGCUGCAUGGUGGGGGUUGGAAAGUUUCGGCGGUUGGGGAUGGACUCGCGGCUUAUCAGCUUGUUGGUGGGGUAGUGGCUUACCAAGGCUUUGACGGGUAGCCGGCCUGAGAGGGUGACCGGGCACAUUGGGACUGGGAUACGGCCCCGACUCCUACGGGAGGCAGGAGUGGGGAAUAUUGGACAAUGGGCGGAAGCCUGAUGCAGCAAAGCCGCGGGCGGGAAGACGGCCUUCGGGUUGUAAAACGCUUUCGCCUGGGACGAAGCGUGAGUGACGGUAAUGGGUAAAGAAGCACCGGCUAACUACGUG
This 468-nucleotide ribosomal RNA is filed under the name uncultured bacterium. RNAcentral's name for it is "partial 16S ribosomal RNA". It matches the Rfam family "Bacterial small subunit ribosomal RNA", at positions 28 to 507 of the family's 1533-position model. The record is from RNAcentral.